RNAcentral lists this unclassified non-coding RNA (2221 nucleotides) under Hevea brasiliensis (rubber tree). The record is from RNAcentral. Lineage: Eukaryota; Viridiplantae; Streptophyta; Magnoliopsida; Malpighiales; Euphorbiaceae.
CGAUCUCGUGCCCAUCGAAGUCAGACCUCAGCACAAUCUUCAACCAUGGGCCAUGGAUAUUUUUUCCUUCCGUGUCUCAGAGGUAAGAGGAUGAUACCGCAUCGUUCACUGGUCAAUGGUCACCGGCCUAGACGUCAUCACUUUGGAGUUUGGAUCCAAGAUGAGGCCCAUUUCUUUCUCCGUGACGCGUAGUUUAUGGUGCGCACUUUCGCUUUUGCAAGCCGAACUCAGCAACCAAGCUGAUGCCUUGAACAGAUUUUGAUCAAACUCGAGAUACUCAGUUCGCGAAACUCGCCUAAAGAUUGACGGCGUGGAGAUGGAGGAAUCCCAGAUAGAAAAGAGACCAAAAAAGGGACUCUUGGGGUUGAUGUUGAGGCCAGUGCACUGGUUCAAAAUGCUUGGUCAAGAGCUGCAUUGGAGCUUUGUCGUAGGAGUGAUGAUAGUUUAUGGUAUCAGUCAGGGGCUUGGCGUGGGCUUGAGCAGAGUCAGUACCCAAUACUACAUGAAGGAUGAGCAGAAGGUGCAGCCCUCUGAAGCACAGGUCUACUUUGGGUUGCUUCAAAUUCCUUGGAUUAUCAAGCCCCUAUGGGGUCUCCUUACUGAUACUCUUCCUAUUCUUGGGUACCGCAGGCGGCCUUACUUCGUUUUUGCAGGUUUUCUUAGCAUGAUCACAAUGCUUGUGCUAUCAUUACAGAAGAACUUGCAUCUCGCAUUUGCUUUGCUGUCGCUAAUGGCAGGAAGUGCUGGAAUAGCUAUUGCAGAUGUGACCAUUGAUGCUUGUGUGACACAGAACAGCAUAAGUAAUCCAUCUCUAGCUGGUGAUAUGCAAAGCUUGUGUGGACUCAGCUCUUCCAUUGGGGCUCUUGUGGGAUUCUCGCUCAGUGGCUUUUUGGUUCACAUAGUUGGUCCUAAGGGUGUGUUUGGGUUGCUCAGUAUCCCAGCAGGCCUGAUCAUUUUGGUUGGCAUAAUGCUGAGAGAAUCCCAUGCACAUAGAUUUGCUUACAGAGGGGUAAAUGAGAAGCUUCUGGAUGCUGGUAAGGCUAUGUGGACAACGCUCAAAUGUCGGGAAGUCUGGAGGCCUUGUUUAUACAUGUACUUAUCACUUGCAGUGAGCUUAAAUGUUCAUGAAGGAAUGUUCUAUUGGUAAACAGAUGCAAAGGGGGGUCCAUCUUUCUCGCAGGAGGUUGUUGGGUCCAUAUUCUCAAUAGGUGCUGUUGGUUCCCUCUCUGGUGUGCUUAUCUACCAAAAUUUGUUAAAGAACCAUCCUUUUCGAGGCAUACUUUUCUGGUCGCAGUUGUUGUAUGGUGUCUCAGGAUUGCUAGAUUUGAUACUUGUCUUGCGUGUGAACUUGAGAAUCGGUUUACCAGAUUACUUUUUUGUUGUGAUUGAUGAAGCGAUUUCUCGAAUGAUUGGACGCGUUAAGUGGAUGCCUCUUCUUGUGCUUAGUUCCAAGCUUUGCCCUGCUGGCAUAGAGGGCACUUUCUUUGCUUUGCUCAUGUCAAUUGAUCAUGUUGGUAUGCUUUCAUCAACUUGGGCAGGAGGUCUCUUGCUCCAUGUCUUGAAGGUUACACGAACACAAUUUGAGAACCUCUGGAUGGCCAUUUUGAUCCGGAGCAUGUUGAGAAUGGUUCCGGUAAGCCUGCUGUUUAUGAUACCCAGAAGCGAUCCAAACUUAUCCAUCCUUCCAGCAGAGAUGUUGAAGACAAAAAAAGGUGAUGAUAUGCUUGAAACUGGAAAUCUUGAAAUGGCCUCGCUUGUUGAGAACUCUUGAAAUAAGGAAUGGAAAAAUGGCAUCUAGGAAAUUGCUAGUUCCUACAUGACGACUAAUAGUUAGGUCCCAAGGUGUCUUUCUAUUCAAGGAUUAGCAUAGCAGCUGAAAAAGGUCCAAUCAUGGAGGAUGUAACUUCUAACCAUGAUUUCUUUCCAUUUUACACGGUCCACAGAAUAGAAUGGCUUGGUCAAUGUUAGCAGUUAUUAUUCCUAAACAUUCCUUUCAAUCUGAGCAUCAAGCGGACAAUUUUGUGUACUUGACCAUGUAAUAUUCCAGGUGAGAAAAGUUAAAAGCACUAGAAUCAAAUUGAGGUAUAAGCACAUAUUUUUUGUACAAUUUUUUUCAAGUGAUACCUCCAACAUUGGAAAUUUCCACGGGCCCAUUUAUGUUUGUUUUUGUUGGAUAAAUUUUGCAGAUCCUAAUAGACCCAUCUUGUUUUGCAUAUUCAUU